UGUAUAUAUCCUGAGUUAAAAUUAGUCAUGCCAAUAAUAAUAUAAAACUACUAUUUUAAUACUAUUAAUUUUUUGUAAAGAACCAUACAAGUUAUAAAUAGAAAAAGCUUAUUUGUUUUCAUUCCUUAUAUUUCAAUCCUUUUAACAAUUAAUGUUAGCAUGUAUUGUUCAGAAACAAUGUAUGCUGUCUCUUUUGACGAUUACACAUUCCUUAAUUACAUCCUAUCUUAUCCCAUUAUCCUUUUUUAAAUAUGUGGUAGACACUUGGGAACUAUUUCUUUGAGCAGAAGGUUCCAACAUUCAGCACAGAAUGAAACUGGGAAAAACCAGUCCAAUUUACUUCCUGAGAAAGGAAAGACAGAACACAAUUCAUUGGUAGAAGUUGACCAAGCUAAAUGCAUGUUAACAGUAAUGGCAAACACCUAGCACUAGACAGUCUAAAUCUAUAUGUUUUGAUGUGUUUUUGUUAUAAGUUAUUCACUUUUUUAUUAAAAAUGAAGUCAGAUUUUAACAAAUUACUGAGUCAUAACAGACCCAAUAAACGUAUACAAAACAGCUAUUCAUAUUUAAAUUGUUUCAAAAAGCUAGGUUGGAAUAAUAAUGUACUAUAUUUACAAUACAGUUUAUAUGGUAUAAUUACAUACAGUAAAUAUUAAAUUAGAUUUGCUAUUCAAAAUUAAAACAUUUUAAAGUUAGUAUGUUUGUGUGUGCAUGCAUGCACAAUUUCUCAACUUACAAAUAUAUACAGUGAGUUUUUCUUGAAACCAAACAUUCUGUUUUUUGGCAUCGAGCCAAUUCUGAUGGAUCUAUCAUGUCAGGAA
RNAcentral lists this long non-coding RNA (821 nucleotides) under Androctonus crassicauda. The record is from RNAcentral. Lineage: Eukaryota; Metazoa; Arthropoda; Arachnida; Scorpiones; Buthidae.